This 2359-nucleotide ribosomal RNA is filed under the name Klebsiella michiganensis. RNAcentral's name for it is "partial 23S ribosomal RNA". It matches the Rfam family "Bacterial large subunit ribosomal RNA", at positions 589 to 2925 of the family's 2925-position model. Lineage: Bacteria; Pseudomonadati; Pseudomonadota; Gammaproteobacteria; Enterobacterales; Enterobacteriaceae. The record is from RNAcentral.
UUGGGUGACUGCGUACCUUUUGUAUAAUGGGUCAGCGACUUAUAUUCUGUAGCAAGGUUAACCGUAUAGGGGAGCCGCAGGGAAACCGAGUCUUAACUGGGCGUUAAGUUGCAGGGUAUAGACCCGAAACCCGGUGAUCUAGCCAUGGGCAGGUUGAAGGUUGGGUAACACUAACUGGAGGACCGAACCGACUAAUGUUGAAAAAUUAGCGGAUGACUUGUGGCUGGGGGUGAAAGGCCAAUCAAACCGGGAGAUAGCUGGUUCUCCCCGAAAGCUAUUUAGGUAGCGCCUCGUGAACUCAUCUUCGGGGGUAGAGCACUGUUUCGGCUAGGGGGUCAUCCCGACUUACCAACCCGAUGCAAACUACGAAUACCGAAGAAUGUUAUCACGGGAGACACACGGCGGGUGCUAACGUCCGUCGUGAAGAGGGAAACAACCCAGACCGCCAGCUAAGGUCCCAAAGUCAUGGUUAAGUGGGAAACGAUGUGGGAAGGCCCAGACAGCCAGGAUGUUGGCUUAGAAGCAGCCAUCAUUUAAAGAAAGCGUAAUAGCUCACUGGUCGAGUCGGCCUGCGCGGAAGAUGUAACGGGGCUAAACCAUGCACCGAAGCUGCGGCAGCGACACUAUGUGUUGUUGGGUAGGGGAGCGUUCUGUAAGCCGUUGAAGGUGGCCUGUGAGGGUUGCUGGAGGUAUCAGAAGUGCGAAUGCUGACAUAAGUAACGAUAAUGCGGGUGAAAAACCCGCACGCCGGAAGACCAAGGGUUCCUGUCCAACGUUAAUCGGGGCAGGGUGAGUCGACCCCUAAGGCGAGGCCGAAAGGCGUAGUCGAUGGGAAACAGGUUAAUAUUCCUGUACUCGGUGUUACUGCGAAGGGGGGACGGAGAAGGCUAUGUUGGCCGGGCGACGGUUGUCCCGGUUUAAGCAUGUAGGCGGAUGUUCCAGGUAAAUCCGGAACGUUACUAACGCUGAGGUGUGAUGACGAGGCACUACGGUGCUGAAGUGACAAAUGCCCUGCUUCCAGGAAAAGCCUCUAAGCAUCAGGUAACAUCAAAUCGUACCCCAAACCGACACAGGUGGUCAGGUAGAGAAUACCAAGGCGCUUGAGAGAACUCGGGUGAAGGAACUAGGCAAAAUGGUGCCGUAACUUCGGGAGAAGGCACGCUGAUGGUAGGUGAAGUGACUUGCUCAUGGAGCUGAAAUCAGUCGAAGAUACCAGCUGGCUGCAACUGUUUAUUAAAAACACAGCACUGUGCAAACACGAAAGUGGACGUAUACGGUGUGACGCCUGCCCGGUGCCGGAAGGUUAAUUGAUGGGGUUAUCCGUAAGGAGAAGCUCUUGAUCGAAGCCCCGGUAAACGGCGGCCGUAACUAUAACGGUCCUAAGGUAGCGAAAUUCCUUGUCGGGUAAGUUCCGACCUGCACGAAUGGCGUAAUGAUGGCCAGGCUGUCUCCACCCGAGACUCAGUGAAAUUGAACUCGCUGUGAAGAUGCAGUGUACCCGCGGCAAGACGGAAAGACCCCGUGAACCUUUACUAUAGCUUGACACUGAACACUGGUCCUUGAUGUGUAGGAUAGGUGGGAGGCUUUGAAGUGUGGACGCCAGUCUGCAUGGAGCCAUCCUUGAAAUACCACCCUUUAAUGGCUGGUGUUCUAACGUGGGCCCCUAAUCGGGGUUGCGGACAGUGUCUGGUGGGUAGUUUGACUGGGGCGGUCUCCUCCUAAAGAGUAACGGAGGAGCACGAAGGUCAGCUAAUCCUGGUCGGACAUCAGGAGGUUAGUGCAAUGGCAUAAGCUGGCUUGACUGCGAGCGUGACGGCGCGAGCAGGUGCGAAAGCAGGUCAUAGUGAUCCGGUGGUUCUGAAUGGAAGGGCCAUCGCUCAACGGAUAAAAGGUACUCCGGGGAUAACAGGCUGAUACCGCCCAAGAGUUCAUAUCGACGGCGGUGUUUGGCACCUCGAUGUCGGCUCAUCACAUCCUGGGGCUGAAGUAGGUCCCAAGGGUAUGGCUGUUCGCCAUUUAAAGUGGUACGCGAGCUGGGUUUAGAACGUCGUGAGACAGUUCGGUCCCUAUCUGCCGUGGGCGCUGGAGAAUUGAGGGGGGCUGCUCCUAGUACGAGAGGACCGGAGUGGACGCAUCACUGGUGUUCGGGUUGUCAUGCCAAUGGCAUUGCCCGGUAGCUAAAUGCGGAAGAGAUAAGUGCUGAAAGCAUCUAAGCACGAAACUUGCCCCGAGAUGAGUUCUCCCUGACCCUUUAAGGGUCCUGAAGGAACGUUGAAGACGACGACGUUGAUAGGCCGGGUGUGUAAGCGCAGCGAUGCGUUGAGCUAACCGGUACUAAUGAACCGUGAGGCUUAACCUU